CUGAGAUUGGUGGGUAAAUGGUCAGGUCAGAGAGCCGUUAGACAGCCUACGCAAGAGCACAUUUGAGGGAAGUCAAACAUUUCCUGCUUAUAAAGACUCGUCUUGCUGCUGGAGAGAUGCCAGGGCACGUGUCUGGGUUGCACCUCCUUACAUCUUGAAUAGAUGUCAGAUUGGCACAACACAUGGGGUCUUCAAUCGCCCCAGCGUGGUGUACUGAGAUCUUUUUCGGAGCCCUUCCUGCUGUUGUCAAGCCAUCUCGGCCCUGUCUGUCAUAUCAUAUCAGCACGCCACUCCCACCCCGUUUAAAAUACCGCUUUGGCUCAUGUUAAUCCAGAAGUCAGUUCCUCUAGAAACAUCUGUUUCCUUUCAGAGGGAGGAGAGACAAAUAGGCCCAUUGUCACCCCUGUAUCUGUACUCAUAUCGAGUCCUUUUGCUUUUCGGACAGGUUGGAAUUAUCGAGGGAGGGUGAAAGGCAAAUAGCCCUAUAGCUCAAUCACCAUUGUUUGGAAUCAGUCAGUGGUAAUAUUAGUGUUGCCCAGAACACAAUUACUCAAUAGCGGCGUCUUUAGCGUCGUCUUGAAUUUAUCCUCUUGACAGAUCCGGAGACUGAUAAUUUAAUGCAAGUUAUGAUUAAAAUCCCCUUACUGUCAAGCCCUUUGGAACAAAUAACAAAUACCUCUGUUUGGAAAAAUGACAGUUUUAAAAAUAAAUAAAAUUACACGUUA
Non-coding RNA from Pimephales promelas (fathead minnow), 725 nucleotides. The record is from RefSeq and is a predicted model, not a curated record. NCBI's taxonomy places the organism in Eukaryota, Metazoa, Chordata, Actinopteri, Cypriniformes, Leuciscidae.